Molecule: ribosomal RNA, 1525 nt
Filed under: Lactiplantibacillus plantarum
Lineage: Bacteria; Bacillati; Bacillota; Bacilli; Lactobacillales; Lactobacillaceae
Description: Lactobacillus plantarum partial 16S ribosomal RNA
Rfam family: Bacterial small subunit ribosomal RNA
Source: RNAcentral
UAGAGUUUGAUCCUGGCUCAGGACGAACGCUGGCGGCGUGCCUAAUACAUGCAAGUCGAACGAACUCUGGUAUUGAUUGGUGCUUGCAUCAUGAUUUACAUUUGAGUGAGUGGCGAACUGGUGAGUAACACGUGGGAAACCUGCCCAGAAGCGGGGGAUAACACCUGGAAACAGAUGCUAAUACCGCAUAACAACUUGGACCGCAUGGUCCGAGUUUGAAAGAUGGCUUCGGCUAUCACUUUUGGAUGGUCCCGCGGCGUAUUAGCUAGAUGGUGGGGUAACGGCUCACCAUGGCAAUGAUACGUAGCCGACCUGAGAGGGUAAUCGGCCACAUUGGGACUGAGACACGGCCCAAACUCCUACGGGAGGCAGCAGUAGGGAAUCUUCCACAAUGGACGAAAGUCUGAUGGAGCAACGCCGCGUGAGUGAAGAAGGGUUUCGGCUCGUAAAACUCUGUUGUUAAAGAAGAACAUAUCUGAGAGUAACUGUUCAGGUAUUGACGGUAUUUAACCAGAAAGCCACGGCUAACUACGUGCCAGCAGCCGCGGUAAUACGUAGGUGGCAAGCGUUGUCCGGAUUUAUUGGGCGUAAAGCGAGCGCAGGCGGUUUUUUAAGUCUGAUGUGAAAGCCUUCGGCUCAACCGAAGAAGUGCAUCGGAAACUGGGAAACUUGAGUGCAGAAGAGGACAGUGGAACUCCAUGUGUAGCGGUGAAAUGCGUAGAUAUAUGGAAGAACACCAGUGGCGAAGGCGGCUGUCUGGUCUGUAACUGACGCUGAGGCUCGAAAGUAUGGGUAGCAAACAGGAUUAGAUACCCUGGUAGUCCAUACCGUAAACGAUGAAUGCUAAGUGUUGGAGGGUUUCCGCCCUUCAGUGCUGCAGCUAACGCAUUAAGCAUUCCGCCUGGGGAGUACGGCCGCAAGGCUGAACUCAAAGGAAUUGACGGGGGCCCGCACAAGCGGUGGAGCAUGUGGUUUAAUUCGAAGCUACGCGAAGAACCUUACCAGGUCUUGACAUACUAUGCAAAUCUAAGAGAUUAGACGUUCCCUUCGGGGACAUGGAUACAGGUGGUGCAUGGUUGUCGUCAGCUCGUGUCGUGAGAUGUUGGGUUAAGUCCCGCAACGAGCGCAACCCUUAUUAUCAGUUGCCAGCAUUAAGUUGGGCACUCUGGUGAGACUGCCGGUGACAAACCGGAGGAAGGUGGGGAUGACGUCAAAUCAUCAUGCCCCUUAUGACCUGGGCUACACACGUGCUACAAUGGAUGGUACAACGAGUUGCGAACUCGCGAGAGUAAGCUAAUCUCUUAAAGCCAUUCUCAGUUCGGAUUGUAGGCUGCAACUCGCCUACAUGAAGUCGGAAUCGCUAGUAAUCGCGGAUCAGCAUGCCGCGGUGAAUACGUUCCCGGGCCUUGUACACACCGCCCGUCACACCAUGAGAGUUUGUAACACCCAAAGUCGGUGGGGUAACCUUUUAGGAACCAGCCGCCUAAGGUGGGACAGAUGAUUAGGGUGAAGUCGUAACAAGGUA